UUUGUCUCACGUCCCGUUAGAUUACAUGGAGUGGGCGGGGUUUAUGACCUAUACUGCAUCCAGCCACCUGGGGGCGAUUUGACUUCACUUUUCAGGACUUGUGCAGCACACAGCCGCUGCUGAAGUCGAACAAACCUACUAACGUCCCUGUUUGUCAGACAGAGAUGCAGGGAUGUGCUGCGUGACCUGAGCCACUGCCCAGUUUCCCUCUCAGGCUGAGGUACCCCUCUGGCAUGCAGAACAGCACUGUGUGAAUGGACAGGAAAGGAGAGGAUUUCCCAUCUUUGUUAAAAUCAUUCUGUAAUCACUCCAUUAAAGAUCCGCUCUGUGGUCUCCACCCCUCUCUCGACUAGAGCGAUUUAGUUUUGCAUUACAAUCCACAUUGCUGUCAGUGCUUGAUCCGCUGAAGUAGUAAUUUGGUAGUUUGUUUUUGUAUUGCUGGUGUUUUGUUUUUGCUCCCGGUUUUCUAAUAGUGCUUACAGUUGUACGAAAUAGCGGCGUUCUUGGAAGUCUAAGCCAACUAAUGGAGUUGAUCUGAUCUAAUAUAAAUAACACCAAAUUCGCUGUUCUUGGUAGAGUUUGUAGACAGUGCCUUCACACGUAAAAGGAGAGAGAGAGAGAGAGAGAGAGAGAGAGAGACAGGCUAGGGCGUUAGCUGUAUUAUUAUUAUUAUUAUUGGGCUGAGCCCAGAUUCUUAUCUAAAAUAACAAGUUAUUUUUGGUACAGAGCACGUUUAUCUGUUUUAAUAGCUGUGCAUGUUUUAGCAGAACCACAGUGGGUAUCAGUGACACAGUUCUUCAGAAGUGAGAAAGCUCUAAACCACAUUCAGAGAAUACUCUAUACACGAGAAGGAAUUUGUAUUGAUGCACCUUUUUGCCUUUACAGCUGCCCACAGCAAACAUUUAUAGAUUAAGACACAGACCUCAGACACACAGUGAGUCAGGAAGUGUUUUUGGUGUCUCAGCCUUCAUCUACUGUUGAUACAACAAUGCAAGACUGUCAUGGAUACCAUGUUUCCAUCUCUGGAGCUCUGAUGUUGGUGAUUCUUCAAGGUGUGCUUGUUGUUUUAGCUGAUACAAACACAAUGAUGGUGUACAGAGCUACUGGGUGCUCCCUGGAUCUAACAUUGAACUAUUCAAAACAAUCAGUGUCAUCAGUUAGGUGGAAGUUCAAUGAGAAACAGUUUGCUGGGUAUUCUCAGAGCCAGUACUCACACCAGAAUUCCCAGUUCACUGGACGGUUAAAGGAGAAUAAUGAUAAAGUUGGAAUAACUGUACAAGAUCUUCAACCCCAAGACUCUGGGACAUUCUCAGUAGUUGUAGAUGGAACUGAAAGACAGUAUCCAACACAGAUAUUUACAGUUUAUAUUCAAAACCCCAUAACAGCUGUGCAGAUUGAGAAGAAUCAGACGUGGAGAUUGUCCACAAACAGCUGUGAUGUUGAUGUGAAGUGUGCAGCGCUCGGGGCUGAGAGUGUCUCCUACCUGUGGAGGGGCUAUAAGACUGGGAGUGGAGCUCAGCUGCAGUUCAGUCUCUCA
Molecule: long non-coding RNA, 1537 nt
Organism: Ictalurus furcatus (blue catfish)
Lineage: Eukaryota; Metazoa; Chordata; Actinopteri; Siluriformes; Ictaluridae
Exons: 3
Source: RefSeq, a predicted model, not a curated record